CACCAAAAACAGACCUCACUUCA
This 23-nucleotide non-coding RNA is filed under the name Arabidopsis thaliana (thale cress). Lineage: Eukaryota; Viridiplantae; Streptophyta; Magnoliopsida; Brassicales; Brassicaceae. The record is from RNAcentral.